GACGAACGCUGGCGGCGUGCCUAACACAUGCAAGUCGAACGGAACUGUUUUGAAAGAUUUCUUCGGAAUGAAUUUGAUUUAGUUUAGUGGCGGACGGGUGAGUAACGCGUGAGUAACCUGCCUUCAAGAGGGGAAUAACAUUCUGAAAAGAAUGCUAAUACCGCAUGACAUAUCGGAACCACAUGGUUUUGAUAUCAAAGAUUUUAUCGCUUGAAGAUGGGCUCGCGUCCGAUUAGUUAGUUGGUGAGGUAACGGCUCACCAAGACCGCGAUCGGUAGCCGGACUGAGAGGUUGAACGGCCACAUUGGGACUGAGACACGGCCCAGACUCCUACGGGAGGCAGCAGUGGGGGAUAUUGCGCAAUGGGGGCAACCCUGACGCAGCAACGCCGCGUGAAGGAUGAAGGUUUUCGGAGUGUAAACUUCUUUUAUUAAGGACGAAAAAUGACGGUACUUAAUGAAUAAGCUCCGGCUAACUACGUG
This 482-nucleotide ribosomal RNA is filed under the name uncultured bacterium. RNAcentral describes it as "partial 16S ribosomal RNA". It matches the Rfam family "Bacterial small subunit ribosomal RNA", at positions 28 to 507 of the family's 1533-position model. The record is from RNAcentral.